RNAcentral lists this ribosomal RNA (706 nucleotides) under uncultured Clostridium sp. Its description in RNAcentral is "bacterial SSU rRNA". It matches the Rfam family "Bacterial small subunit ribosomal RNA", at positions 61 to 769 of the family's 1533-position model. Lineage: Bacteria; Bacillati; Bacillota; Clostridia; Eubacteriales; Clostridiaceae. The record is from RNAcentral.
GUCGAGCGAGAAGCUCAUGACGGACGCUUCGGUUGAAGUCACGAGUGGAAAGCGGCGGACGGGUGAGUAACGCGUAGGCAACCUGCCCUUUGCAGAGGGAUAGCCUCGGGAAACCGGGAUUAAAACCUCAUAAUACCGCAGUGAGACAUCUUACGGCGGUCAAAGAUUUAUCGGCAAAGGAUGGGCCUGCGGCUGAUUAGUUAGUUGGUGGGGUAACGGCCUACCAAGGCGACGAUCAGUAGCCGACCUGAGAGGGUGAUCGGCCACAUUGGAACUGAGACACGGUCCAAACUCCUACGGGAGGCAGCAGUGGGGAAUAUUGCACAAUGGGGGAAACCCUGAUGCAGCAACGCCGCGUGAAGGAUGAAGGCCUUUGGGUCGUAAACUUCUGUUCUAAGGGAAGAUAGUGACGGUACCUUAGGAGCAAGUCCCGGCUAACUACGUGCCAGCAGCCGCGGUAAUACGUAGGGGGCAAGCGUUAUCCGGAAUUAUUGGGCGUAAAGAGUACGUAGGUGGUUUUCUAAGCACGGGGUUUAAGGCAAUGGCUUAACCAUUGUUCGCCUUGUGAACUGGAAGACUUGAGUGCAGGAGAGGGAAGCGGAAUUCCUAGUGUAGCGGUGAAAUGCGUAGAUAUUAGGAGGAACACCAGUGGCGAAGGCGGCUUACUGGACGAUAACUGACGCUGAGGCUCGAAAGCGUGGGGAGC